RNAcentral lists this unclassified non-coding RNA (154 nucleotides) under uncultured Xylariales. Its description in RNAcentral is "sequence contains ITS1". The record is from RNAcentral. Lineage: Eukaryota; Fungi; Ascomycota; Sordariomycetes; Xylariales.
UAGAGUUAUCACAACUCCAAACCCAUGUGAACUUACCACUGUUGCCUCGGCGGGUUCCAGGGCCUCUCUCGGGAGCUCUGGGCUCAAGCCCGCCGGUGGUUUUUACAAACUCUUUGUAUUAAUUUGCAAUCUGAGCGUACUUUUAAAUAAGUCA